Long non-coding RNA from Rosa rugosa (rugosa rose), 1144 nucleotides. RefSeq lists it as uncharacterized. The transcript has 3 exons. The record is from RefSeq and is a predicted model, not a curated record. NCBI's taxonomy places the organism in Eukaryota, Viridiplantae, Streptophyta, Magnoliopsida, Rosales, Rosaceae.
UGGAUUGGAGUAGCUUAUAUAAGAAAAUUAGUUGUAUCCCACGUUUGGCACACACGAGGACUCAAUUAAAUGAGAUAAGAGAGUCCCCGCGUCAGCUCCCGACCUUCUUACAUAAACCCCCCAAAACUCACCGGACUGUGGAAGCAAGGGCUUCAACAACGCUCGUGGGUCUCUCGAUCUAUUUCGCGCGCUUCAGCCUCGUCUCUCCCUCUCUUUCGCGCUUCAACCUUGUGUCUCCACUGUCGAUCGCGCUUCAUCCUCCUUCAACUUCCAGAAGAAAAGAAAAGAAGAAGAACAAGAAGAGGAAGAAGAAGAGGGAAAUAGAGUAAAUUGAUCAUCCCAAGUACUUUUUCUGUGAGUUGUUGCCCAGUAUAUGUCAGUUAAAACAAGUUGCCAGCUUUUGCUUAUUUGAAAUACUAUUUACCAUAUCUGAUUACUCAUGUUUAUUUACGGGUGUUUAUUGGGUUGCUGAAUUUGGAGUUUGAUGUGAUUCAGUUUAUAAGAGAUGUAAGAUAAAAGCAAAGAUUUUCUUAUCAGCUAUUGGAAUUAUUGGGUUUUGAUAUGGGGAGGAAGGGGGUGAAUUUGGGUGGUAGGGAUUUCCAUAAGCAUAUCAAAAGAGGCAGCUAAUACAGUUCGAGAAGAAUCUUAGAACUUAGAAAAGAGCACAUCAGUUGAUAGCAGAAAAGGUAACAAUAGCUAAACUAGUAGGAAUGUAUAAAACAGUGCUUACAGACUUAAUGAUAUUACUAUUUGCUUACAAGUAUGCAUAUUGUGGUUGCUCUUCUCAAGCUAUUUGGUUAUUAGAUUUCUUCUUGCUGUAUGUGAACUUUGCCAAAAAAACAAGCUACAACAGUUUCUCACGACAUUUUCUGAUUGCCAUCUUCCUACGAAUUGUCUUCAGCUUUCACCUUCCAAUUUUCUUUUCUUCUCACAAACUCAGAAAAUCGUUCAUGUUUCUACAAAUUACCAACUUUUAGUCCAAUGCACAAACAAACAUGGGAUAUGACUAUUUUGACUAUUCUGCACUUUAGUCCUAAGCAGUACCAAACAUGGGUCAGGUAUUAACAUAGCAUAUCCCAGGCUAGAAGAGUCCUAGACUAUUAUAGGAAAUAAGGUGGGGGAUAAUAGUCCCAUGUAACAAACA